UACGUAGGGUGCGAGCGUUAAUCGGAAUUACUGGGCGUAAAGCGUGCGCAGGCGGUUUUGUAAGUCUGUCGUGAAAUCCCAGGGCUCAACCUGGGAAUUGCGAUGGAGACUGCAAGGCUAGAAUCUGGCAGAGGGGGGUAGAAUUCCACGUGUAGCAGUGAAAUGCGUAGAGAUGUGGAGGAACACCGAUGGCGAAGGCAGCCCCCUGGGUCAAGAUUGACGCUCAUGCACGAAAGCGUGGGGAGCAAACAGG
This 253-nucleotide ribosomal RNA is filed under the name uncultured bacterium. RNAcentral's name for it is "partial 16S ribosomal RNA". It matches the Rfam family "Bacterial small subunit ribosomal RNA", at positions 524 to 776 of the family's 1533-position model. The record is from RNAcentral.